This 433-nucleotide ribosomal RNA is filed under the name uncultured bacterium. RNAcentral's name for it is "partial 16S ribosomal RNA". It matches the Rfam family "Bacterial small subunit ribosomal RNA", at positions 29 to 507 of the family's 1533-position model. The record is from RNAcentral.
AGCGAACGCUGGCGGCAGGCCUAACACAUGCAAGUCGAACGGAUCCUUCGGGAUUAGUGGCGGACGGGUGAGUAACACGUGGGAACGUGCCCUUUGGUUCGGAACAACUCAGGGAAACUUGAGCUAAUACCGGAUGUGCCCUUCGGGGGAAAGAUUUAUCGCCAUUGGAGCGGCCCGCGUCUGAUUAGCUAGUUGGUGAGGUAACGGCCCACCAAGGCGACGAUCAGUAGCUGGUCUGAGAGGAUGAUCAGCCACACUGGGACUGAGACACGGCCUAGACUCCUACGGGAGGCAGCAGUGGGGAAUCUUGCGCAAUGGGCGAAAGGCUGACGCAGCCAUGCCGCGUGAAUGAUGAAGGUCUUAGGAUUGUAAAAUUCUUUCAGCGGGGACGAUAAUGACGGUACCCGCAGAAGAAGCUCCGGCUAACUUCGUG